Molecule: transfer RNA, 74 nt
Filed under: Culex quinquefasciatus (southern house mosquito)
Lineage: Eukaryota; Metazoa; Arthropoda; Insecta; Diptera; Culicidae
Rfam family: tRNA
About the family: Transfer RNA (tRNA) molecules are approximately 80 nucleotides in length. Their secondary structure includes four short double-helical elements and three loops (D, anti-codon, and T loops). Further hydrogen bonds mediate the characteristic L-shaped molecular structure. tRNAs have two regions of fundamental functional importance: the anti-codon, which is responsible for specific mRNA codon recognition, and the 3' end, to which the tRNAs corresponding amino acid is attached (by aminoacyl-tRNA synthetases). tRNAs cope with the degeneracy of the genetic code in two manners: having more than one tRNA (with a specific anti-codon) for a particular amino acid; and 'wobble' base-pairing, i.e. permitting non-standard base-pairing at the 3rd anti-codon position.
Source: Rfam by way of RNAcentral
GCCUUCGUGGCGCAUUCGGUUAGCGCGUUCGGCUGUUAACCGAAAGGUUGGUGGUUCGAGUCCACUCGGGGGCG